Molecule: ribosomal RNA, 445 nt
Filed under: uncultured bacterium
Lineage: Bacteria
Description: bacterial SSU rRNA
Rfam family: Bacterial small subunit ribosomal RNA
Source: RNAcentral
GAUGAACGCUGGCGGCGUGCUUAACACAUGCAAGUCGAACGGGAAUUACUUUAUUGAAACUUCGGUGGAUUUAAUUUAAUUCUAGUGGCGGACGGGUGAGUAACGCGUGGGUAACCUGCCUUGUACAGGGGGAUAACAGUCAGAAAUGACUGCUAAUACCGCAUAAGCGCACAGGACCGCAUGGUCCAGUGUGAAAAACUCCGGUGGUAUAAGAUGGACCCGCGUUGGAUUAGCUGGUUGGUGGGGUAAUGGCCUACCAAGGCGACGAUCCAUAGCCGGCCUGAGAGGGUGAACGGCCACAUUGGGACUGAGACACGGCCCAGACUCCUACGGGAGGCAGCAGUGGGGAAUAUUGCACAAUGGGGGAAACCCUGAUGCAGCGACGCCGCGUGAAGGAAGAAGUAUCUCGGUAUGUAAACUUCUAUCAGCAGGGAAGAAAAUGACG